This 1451-nucleotide ribosomal RNA is filed under the name metagenome. Its description in RNAcentral is "bacterial LSU rRNA". It matches the Rfam family "Bacterial large subunit ribosomal RNA", at positions 1461 to 2925 of the family's 2925-position model. The record is from RNAcentral.
CAUAUCGAGGGACGGAGAAGGCUACAUCAGCCGGAUGUUGGUUACCGGUUUAAGCGCCUAAGACGUUGAUAAGUGGAGAAAACACUUUGAGUUAAAGCGUGAAUACGAAAUGCUACGGCAUUGAAGUGAUCUAUGCCAGGCUUCCAAGAAAAUCUCGUCAUAUCUUAAGCAGUAGAUGCCUGUACCUUAAACCGACACAGGUAGGUAGGUAGAGUAUACCAAGGGGCGCGAGAUAACUCUCUCUAAGGAACUCGGCAAAAUAACCUCGUAACUUCGGAAGAAGAGGUACCCUUGAAAAAGGGUUGCAAUAACCAGACCCUGGCGACUGUUUACCAAAAACACAGGUCUCCGCUAAUUCGUAAGAUCAAGUAUGGAGGCUGACGCCUGCCCAGUGCCGGAAGGUUAAAGAAGUUGGUCAAUCUUUGGAUGAAGCUGGCGACUGAAGCCCCGGUGAACGGCGGCCGUAACUAUAACGGUCCUAAGGUAGCGAAGUUCCUUGUCGGGUAAGUUCCGACCCGCACGAAAGGCGUAACGAUCAGGGUGCUGUCUCGGAGAGAGACUCGGCGAAAUAGACAUGUCUGUGAAGAUGCGGACUACCUGCACCUGGACAGAAAGACCCUAUGAAGCUUUACUGUAUCUUGGAAUUGGGUUUGGGCCUUGCUUGCGCAGGAUAGGUGGGAGGCUGUGAAGAUAUUCUUGCGGGAAUGUUGGAGCCAACGGUGAGAUACCACUCUAGUAAGGCUAAAAUUCUAACUCUGAACCGUUAUCCGGUCAGAGAACAGUUUCAGGUGGGCAGUUUGACUGGGGCGGUUGCCUCCUAAAAGGUAACGGAGGCGCGCAAAGGUUCCCUCAGGCUGGUUGGACAUCAGUCGUAGAGUGUAAAGGCAUAAGGGAGCUUGACUGCGAGACCCACAAGUCGAGCAGAGACGAAAGUCGGCCUUAGUGAUCCGACGGUUCCACGUGGAAGGGCCGUCGCUCAACGGAUAAAAGUUACUCUAGGAUAACAGGCUGAUCUCCCCCAAGAGUUCACAUCGACGGGGAGGUUUGGCACCUCGAUGUCGGCUCAUCGCAUCCUGGGGCGGUAGUACGUCCCAAGGGUUGGGCUGUUCGCCCAUGAAAGCGGUACGCGAGCUGGGUUCAGAACGUCGUGAGACAGUUCGGUCCAUAUCCGGUGCAGGCGUUAGAGCAUUGAGAGGAGUCCCCCUUAUUACGAGAGGACCGGGGGGAAUACACCGCUGGUGUACCAGUUAUCGUGCCAACGGUAAACGCUGGGUAGCCAUGUGUAGCGCGGAUAACUGCUGAAAGCAUCUAAGUAGGAAGCCCACCUUAAGAUGAGUGCUCUCACCGCUAUAAGCGGGUAAGGUCACGGUAAGAACAACCGUUAUAUAGGCAUUAAGUAUACGUGCAGUAAUGCAUUUAGCUGAGAUGUACUAACAGACCGUGGGCUUGAC